This is a long non-coding RNA of Zalophus californianus (California sea lion), 368 nucleotides long. RefSeq lists it as uncharacterized. The transcript is spliced from 3 exons. The record is from RefSeq and is a predicted model, not a curated record. NCBI's taxonomy places the organism in Eukaryota, Metazoa, Chordata, Mammalia, Carnivora, Otariidae.
GGAAAGGGACGGCCGGGUGGUUGGGGUGACUCCUGGCCUGACCUUCUCCUCGCCCCGCCCCCACACUCAAGGGGAGGAGUUAAAGCCCGGGGUCUUGGGAGAAGCUCCGGGAUCUCGGUCUACGGCAACUUCAUUUUGCAGUGAUUUUUUUUCCGUCCAACGUGACUAUCUUAUGGGAGACAACUGUAACAGCAUACAGGAAAAUGGCUAAACAAAUUCUGAUAUAUCUGUACAAUGGAAUAAUACUCAGCAAUCAAAAGGUAUGAGCUAUAGAUACAACAUGGAUGAAUCUUGAAAAUAUGAUCUUGAGCAAAAGAAGCCAGACAGAAAGGACUACAUUCUGCAUACCUCACUUACAUGAAGUUCAA